Nothobranchius furzeri (turquoise killifish) is the source of this 2008-nucleotide long non-coding RNA. RefSeq lists it as uncharacterized. The record is from RefSeq and is a predicted model, not a curated record. Lineage: Eukaryota; Metazoa; Chordata; Actinopteri; Cyprinodontiformes; Nothobranchiidae.
UCAGAAUUGUGGUUUGUGCUGCGGCAUAAGGUUGGAGGUGUAAUUUCGCUCUCCGCCACUAGGAGGCGAGUAUGCCUUGAGAUGACUUCCUGUUAGUCAGCAUUUCCUGUUUUGAAAGCCGUUACUCACGAGGCAACCGCCAGAUUAACUGAAAGAUCCUGGAUCUGAAUUCUGUGAAUUACAGCCGUGGGAAGCUGCGUCAGCUGGGCGAGCUAUCUCACCACGAGCUCCGAUUGGUUUUUUGACCAGGACUGGAUCAUUUGAGAUCUGAACCUUGUGGGUUCAGUGGCGAGCCAGUUCCAAGAGAGUGACUGUAGACGGACCAGAGUACGGUGUGGCCAGCCGUGGGAUCCAUCUUCAGCAAACCCCAGGACUAUCACUACAUCCCUUGACACAGAUAAGACUGACACUUUUAAAAAAUCUACCCGGGUAGUGUUAGAUCCACUGGACAGAAACGCACACACACAAACUAAUUUCUCUUUCCAAAGAGAAGUGGACUGAGCAACAGGAGUGGAAGCUCUUUAAUUGAAACUCUUUGGAGAAUUUCCUCAAAGAGGGUUUUGGUUUUAUUUUGAGUCCUUUAAUGUGCGUUCGUGCACUGUAGGAAGCCGGCUUAGACAGGCAGGGUUUGUAAACUUUACACCUUUUCAAUACAGUUUCUAUUUAAAUCAUAUCUUAUCUGUCAUUGUGCGGUUCCUUCUCUGCUGAUCCUUUCAAGGCUCCAUAAUCUUACCUAGAACUUUUGAUACUGGUCCAGAGUUGUCAAGACAAUAGUUCAACACCUAUUUCAUAUUAUUUAAUUGUAAUACCCGUUACACACGCCUCACAGUGAGUAGGUGUCUCAUUUUUCUCUCACAUGUUCUUGCUUCCUCUUCUUUUGGUUUGUUUGGUCACAUCUGACCGUACUAGGGGCCAAAUAUUCAUGCUGCCAAGGCUCAUUGAUCUGCCCUAUGGACAGAGACUGAGCAUUUCAUUAAAGGCAAGGACGCAGAUGUUGUUUUACAGGUUCACAUUUGAAUCUCAAGUAUCCGUUAGAGAUGCAGAGAGGAAGGAGGUAAUUGGCAGAUGAGGGAAUGGUGAAGUGAGACAAGGUUCAAAAGUCAGUUUCAAGUAGAAAUAAACAGUUGCUGAAGUGUAUUUCUUCAUUAUGGAAAGUACAUAAGCACACACACCUGAAGGACCUUUUCUGUCCAGUUUCAUACAUUCUGAUCAAAGAUGUGUUGCUAAACGGUAAUCACUGGAGGCGACUAGCGCUAAUUCACCAGCAGAACACGUGCAGGAGAGAUACAACCCUACCAGCUUUAAUGGUUACCAUGGUAACAUCUUCCACAGUUAGAAUCACGGCUUUAGUUCGAACCAAAUUCUCUCACCGCUGUGGCACGCUUUUUGUUGUCCAACAGAUCCGACCUCCCAGACACAUGGAGGCAGCAGAGAGUCAUCACUGGAGGAUUUUAUCAGACUCCAGAGACAAAGUCAGUAGUGACAAUCAUGCUUACCGCUGUUUGCUCAUCCAGGUCUGGGCCACAGGGGCAAGGGAAGCCCUGACCGUCUAAUCAACCAACCGACCAAUCGACCAACCGAUCGAUCAAUCAAUCAAUCAAUCAAUCAGUCAAUACACAAUUAACCAAUCGAUCAACAACCAACCAAACAACCUACAAAUCAAUCAAUUGAUUCAUCAAUCAAUCAAUCGACCGACCGAUCGACCAAUCAGUCAUUCAACAACUAACCAAUCGAUCAAUAAUCAACCAACCGACCGACCGACCGAUCGAUCGACCAAUCAAUCAAUCAGUCAAUCAACAACUAACCAAUUGAUCAACAAUCAACCAACCAACCAACCUACAAAUUAAUCAAUCAAUCAAUCAACCGACCAACUAAUCAAUGUAACAGACGCCGUCUGUUUGUGGCCACUGGGUGGCCUCAGUGUCACUACCUGCGCUCCUGGCUCUAGCUGAGUCAGGUGUAGCUGAUCCAAAUCAGGGAUGCUCCUCGUUAGAAGGGAGCACCAGGU